This 346-nucleotide ribosomal RNA is filed under the name uncultured Comamonas sp. Its description in RNAcentral is "bacterial SSU rRNA". It matches the Rfam family "Bacterial small subunit ribosomal RNA", at positions 1032 to 1382 of the family's 1533-position model. The record is from RNAcentral. Lineage: Bacteria; Pseudomonadati; Pseudomonadota; Betaproteobacteria; Burkholderiales; Comamonadaceae.
UGACAGGUGUGCAUGGUUGUCGUCAGCUCGUGUCGUGACGAUGUUGGGUUAAGUCCCGCAACGAGCGCAACCCUUGUCAUUAGUUGCUACGAAAGGGCACUCUAAUGAGACUAGCCGGUGACAAACCGGAGGAAAGGUGGGGAUGACGUCAAGUCCUCAUGGCCCUUAUAGGUGGGGCUACACACGUCAUACAGUGGCUGGUACAAAGGGUUGCCAACCCGCGAGGGGGAGCCAAUCCCAUAAAGCCAGUCGCAGUCCGGAUCGCAGUCUGCAACUCGACUGCGUGAAGUCGGAAUCGCUAGUAAUCGUGGAUCAGCAUGUCACGGUGAAUACGUUCCCGGGUCUU